CGUGAAACUGCGAAUGGCUCAUUAAAUCAGUUAUCGUUUAUUUGAUAGUACCUUACUACUUGGAUAACCGUGGUAAUUCUAGAGCUAAUACAUGCUGAAAACCCCAACUUCGGGAGGGGUGUAUUUAUUAGAUAAAAAACCAAUGCCCUUCGGGGCUUCUUGGUGAUUCAUAAUAACUUCUCAGAUCGCAUGGCCUUGCGCCGGCGACGGUUCAUUCAAAUUUCUGCCCUAUCAACUUUCGAUGGUAAGGUAUUGGCUUACCAUGGUUUCAACGGGUAACGGGGAAUUAGGGUUCGAUUCCGGAGAGGGAGCCUGAGAAACGGCUACCACAUCCAAGGAAGGCAGCAGGCGCGCAAAUUACCCAAUCCCGACACGGGGAGGUAGUGACAAUAAAUACUGAUACAGGGCUCUUUUGGGUCUUGUAAUUGGAAUGAGUACAAUUUAAACCUCUUAACGAGGAACAAUUGGAGGGCAAGUCUGGUGCCAGCAGCCGCGGUAAUUCCAGCUCCAAUAGCGUAUAUUAAAGUUGUUGCAGUUAAAAAGCUCGUAGUUGAACCUUUGGCCUGGCUGGCAGGUCCGCCUCACCGCGUGUACUUGUCCGGCCGGGCCUUCUUUUCUGGAGAACCGCAUGCCCUUCACUGGGUGUGUUGGGGACCAGGACUUUUACUUUGAAAAAAUUAGAGUGUUCAAAGCAGGCCUUUGCUCGAAUACGUUAGCAUGGAAUAAUAGAAUAGGACGUGCGGUCCUAUUUUGUUGGUUUCUAGGACCGCCGUAAUGAUUAAUAGGGACAGUCGGGGGCAUCAGUAUUCAAUUGUCAGAGGUGAAAUUCUUGGAUUUAUUGAAGACUAACUACUGCGAAAGCAUUUGCCAAGGAUGUUUUCAUUAAUCAGUGAACGAAAGUUAGGGGAUCGAAGACGAUCAGAUACCGUCGUAGUCUUAACCAUAAACUAUGCCGACUAGGGAUCGGGCGGUGUUUCUAUUUUGACUCGCUCGGCACCUUACGAGAAAUCAAAGUGU
RNAcentral lists this ribosomal RNA (1017 nucleotides) under Leucaenicola phraeana. Its description in RNAcentral is "SSU rRNA". It matches the Rfam family "Eukaryotic small subunit ribosomal RNA", at positions 80 to 1106 of the family's 1831-position model. The record is from RNAcentral. Lineage: Eukaryota; Fungi; Ascomycota; Dothideomycetes; Pleosporales; Bambusicolaceae.